UGGGGAAGUAAUUGCACAAUGGGGGGAACCCGUGAUGCAGCGACGCCGCGUGAGUGAAGAAGUAUUUCGGUAUGUAAAGCUCUAUCAGCAGGGAAGAAAAUGACGGUACCUGACUAAGAAGCCCCGGCUAACU
Molecule: ribosomal RNA, 133 nt
Filed under: uncultured bacterium
Lineage: Bacteria
Description: partial 16S ribosomal RNA
Rfam family: Bacterial small subunit ribosomal RNA
Source: RNAcentral